UUUUUUUUUUUUUUUUUUUUUUUUUUUUUUUUGUCUUUUGUUGUUGUUGUUGUUGCUAUUUCUUGGGCCGCUCCCGAGGCAUAUGGAGGUUCCCAGGCUAGGAGUUGAAUCGGAGCUGUAGCCACUGGCCUACGCCAGAGCCACAGCAACGCGGGAUCCGAGCCGCAUCUGCGACCUACACCACAGCUCAUGGCAACGCCAGAUCCUUAACCCACUGAGCAAGGGCAGGGACCGAACCCGCAACCUCAUGGUUCCUAGUCGGAUUCGUUAACCACUGCGCCACGACGGGAACUCCCUCAUUUCAGUUGUUCACUAGCAUUUGAUGGGGCCGUUUAGAACCUCGACUCCAGUUCCAAGGAGCCAGGAAGACUGAGUCACCUGGGUGUUUUAGAAAAAAAACCUUACACUUUCCACCUGCGUUUUUCCUUUACUCUCUUAUCACCACCACACUCACAAUAGUGCUGACCCCAGACAUGUGGGGUUUUUCCCCCACACCAAGCAAUCCUCUGUGAACAGUGGGGUGUUCUACCAUCUAACUCAAUUCUGACACUCCCUACAAGAGAUAGCGUCAGUGCCCACAAGUUAAAGACUUGGUCCCAUGAGACUGCACCCCCUCCCCCAAGUUCAGAUGCCAAUCACAAGGUUAUCCACAACUUCCGCCUGACUUGGCUACAAAUCAGAGGUUCCCAUAACCUCUUCCCCCCUUGGAUUUGAUUAUUUACUAGGGCAGCUCUUAGAACUCAGAGACACCUUGUCUUACAUGUACCAGUUUAUUAAGGGUUAUGAUAAAGGGCACAGACGAACAGCCAGAUGAAGAGAUACAAAAGGUGAGGUCUGAGAGGAUCUGAGCCCAGAAGCUUCUGUCUCAGUGAAGUCGGGAUGGGUCUUCCUCCUGGUACGAGGAUAUGUUCACCAAGAUGGAAGCUCCCUGAGCUCCAAACUUUUGGGAGCUACCAACUUUUUAUGGAGGUUUCAUUACCUGGGCAUGACUGAUAUAACUCCAUUCCCAGCCCAUCUCCCUUCUUACGAGAAUGGGGGCCAGGGAUGAAAAUUCCAAGCUUCUGGAGUUCCUGUCGUGGUGCAGCGGAAACGAAUACAACUAAGAACCAUCAGGUUGUGGGUUUGAUCCCUGGCCUUGCUCAUGGAAGGAUAUACAUUUAUGUAUUUAAAAAUUGUUGGUGAGGAGUUCCUGUCGUGGCGCAGUGGAAAACAAAUCCAACUGGGAACCAUGAGGUUUCAGAUUCAUUAACCACUGCGCCACAAGGGGAGCUCCUGGUGUCCAUACUUCUGCAAAAAAGAUAAACAAAAGGCCAAUAAGCACAUGAAAAGACCUUCAACAUCACUAAUCAUUACGGAAACUCAAAUCAAAACCACAGUGAGAUAUCACCCCACUGCCAGUAGGAUGGCUAUAAUCAAAAAAGAAAAAAAAAAAAAGAAAAGAAAAUAACAAGUGUUGGUGAGGAUAUGGAAGGACUGGAACCCUUGUGUGUUGCUGGGUUAUAAGAAUGUAAAAUGGUGCGGCUACUGUGUUAAACAGUAGAGCAGUUCCUCAAAAAAUUAAAAACGGAAUGAUCAUCUGGUCCAACAAUUCCACUUCUGGGUAUGUACCCAAAAGAAGUAAAAGCGGGUUCUCAAAGAGGUAUUUGUUCACUUGUGUUCAUAGCAACGUUAUUCAUAAUAGCCAAAAGGGUAAAAGCAACCCAAGUGACAGAUGAAUAAAUAAACAAAAUGUGGUGUACAUAUAUACAAUGGAACAUUAUUCAGCCUUAAAAAAGGAAGGGUAUUCUGGAACAUGCUACAACAUGGACGGACCUUGAACCUUAUUAUGCUAAGUGAAAUAAACCAGUCACAAUACUGGUAUGAGCUACCUAGAGUAGUAAAAAUCAAAAGAGACAGAAAAUAUUACCAUGGUUACCAGGAGUCAGGUAGGGAUUGGUAAUGGAGAGUUACUGUUUAACGGAUACAGAGUUCUGGUUUGGGAAGACGAAAAAGUUCUAGAGGUGGAUGGUGGUGAUGACGGUACAACAAUGUGAAUAUACUCGAUGCCACUGAACUGCACAAGUUAAAAUGGUAAAUUUUAUGUUACAUGGAUUUUACCACAAAAAAAAUUGUUGGAAAAAAAUUACUGGCAGAGUUCCCAUCAUGGCUCAGCGGUUAACAAACCAGACUGGUGUCCAUGAGGACAUGGGUUUGAUCCCUGGCCUUGCUCUGUGGGUUAAGGAUCCAGUGCUGCCGUGAUCUGUGGUGUAGGUCACAGACGCGGCUUGGAUCCCUUGUUGCUGUGGCUGUGGUGUAGGCCGGCGGCUACAGCUCCAAUUGGACCCCUGGUCUAGGAACCUCCAUGUGCCACAGGUGCAGCCCUAAAGAGACAACAGCAACAAAAAUUUAUCGGCACUAGUGUUAGUAGAUUAGUGAGGUGAAAACUCAAUAAGAAGACCAGUUAGAAAGCUAAUACCCAGGGGCAGAGAGCUCAGUAAGAGCCUGAUAAUGUAAGACGGUGGCAGGGGAAGCUGGGGGGACAGAUACUAGAGAUUCCCAGGUGAGUGGCUGGAUGGAGUGUGAGGAAGGAGGGGAAACCAAAAGGCUACUCCCAAAGUCCUGAGCUGAGGGACUGAUGGACAGUGGUGCCCAUCACCACGACAGGGCCCACAGAGUUGGUGGGGGAAGAACAGGUUUCCUGAAAGGUGGUGAGUUCAGUUUGGGAUAAGCGGCGUUUGAAACACUUGGGGAAUGUCCAGGUGGCAAUAUCUUAAAGGAAUGAGACUGAUCUCAGAAGAUUGGAUUUUCUAAAGUAUGAUAAUAGUAUUAUGUUGUUGUUGUUUCAGUUUGUAUCUUCUGUAGAGAAUAGGGGUGAAUGGGGCAGGGAUGGCCCUGGGCGAUGGUUACCAGGGCUGUCAUGGGUACCUGAGGAUUAAUUCUGUCUACUUUGGGGACUAGUCAAAAAUCACCAUAAUAGGAAUUCUGUUGUGGCUCAGCAGUAACGAACCCAACUAGUAUCCAUGAGGACGCAGGUUUGAUCCCUGGCCUCGCUAGAUGUGGGUUAAAGGAGCUGGUAUUGCCAUGAGCUGUGGUGUAGGUCGCAGACACGGCACAGAUCUGGCAUUAUCGUGGCUGUGGCUGUGGCUGUGGCUGGCAGUUGCAGCUCCUGUUCAACCCCUAACCUGUGAACGUCCAUAUGCCCUGGGUGCAGCCCUAAAAAAAAAAAAAAAAUUGCUGUAAUAAAAAGUUUAAAGAGCAAUAAUAAAAAGAGAUGUAAACCUAUAGGGCAGAGAUAAUGACACUGUUUUAUUAUUAACAAUAAUAGUACAAAGCAUUACCAUUUAGGGAGUCUCUGCUCUGGCAGGCACUUUGCUGGGCCCUCUACGUGCAUAUGUUGCACUUUUUCAUGACAACUCCAAUUUUACUAAAGUUCAGAGAUGUCAGAUGUCUUGCAUAACAAGUAAAGCUUUAGAUUAUAUGAGGUAUAGCAGAGGGAGCAAAUACAACAAGAAUAUAAAAGGGCUAAACAAACGUAUGGACUACAGACAUUUAAGACUAGGCCCAGGACCCCACAGACAAGUGGCAGGUAGAGUGCUUUACAAACCAAGGAAGAACAGAGAUUCAGGAAGAAAGGAGUGGUUCUCAGUAUCAAACACCACACAAAAUGCAGGCCACGUAGUAAGUAAAAACUGCUCCUUGGAUUUUGCUAUUAGGAGAUUGCUGUGGCCUUGGGAAGAAUCACUGUAGUUGGUAGGGACAAAAGAAGAGCUGGGAAGGAGUGCGUAGCAAAUGGGGCCUCCUCUUUUGAUAAGCUAUGCUGUGAAGUGAACUUGAAUGAUUGUGGUGAUACUGUGAUUUAUAAUGAGAAAUGUAUAUCUGGUCUUUGUUUCUGGCAUUGAGCUUCUAAAACCCUGGGAAUUUCCUAAAUGAUGAAAGCAAUAGAGAUGCCUUUUGUUAGUGAGUUGACUCUGGGACCACACCUAAGGAUGGGGACUAGUUGCGAGGAAAAAAGCAACCAUGUGCUUGGAGGGGUGGAACUUUCCCACCUCCCUGAGUUCUGGGGAGGGGCUGGAGGGGGGAGGGGAGAGGGGCUGGAGGGUGAAUCCAUCGCCAGUGGCCAGUGUUUUAAUCAAUCAUGCCUAUACAAUAAAGCUUCCGUAAAAACCCAAAAGGAUAGGGUUCAGAGUGCUUCCAGGUUGGUGACACAUGGACAUUUGGGGAGGCUGGUGUGUCUGAAGAGGGCACAGAAGCUCCUCACCCUUUCCUUAUACCUUCUCAUUGCAUCUUUUUCCAGCUGAUGUCCCUGAGUUAGAUCCUUGUACAAUAAGCCAGUGAUCUAGUAGGUAAACUGUGUCUCUGAGUUCUGUGAGCCGCUCUAGCAAAUUAAUCAAACUCAGGGGAGGAUGGGGUCAUGGGAAUCUCUGACUUAUAGCCAGUUGGUCAGCACAGGUAGUAAACUGGGCUUUUGAUUGGCAUCUGAAGGCAGGUGGGCAGUCUUGCGAGACUGAGCCCUGAACCUGUGGGAUCUGAUGCUAUCUCUGGGCAGACAGUGUCAGAAUUGAGCUGAAUUGUAAGACACCCAUCUGGUACCCAGGAACUGCCUAUUGGUGUGGGGGGCCCCUGCCCCACACUAGAACUGGCCCCAGACUUCGCUGGCUAAUAUCUAGAGGAAGGAAGGCACAAAGGUGAGAGAAGCUGCCUGUGUAGCUGUGUGGUAGGGAAGCAGCCGGAGGAGAGACUGAAGAUGGAGGAAAGGGAAGUGAGGAUGGUGCCAAGAGCCGAGGGACACGGAAGGGAUGGAGUCAGGCUGGGAGGUGAGGGGUUGCCUCAGACAGGAGGGAGGGAAGAAGGAAGGAGGCCACUCAUGGGCUGAGAAAGGAGAUGAGAGAAUCAUGAUGUCAGAGGACAGAUGAGCUGGGAGAGGGCGCCGUGAGUAAGCCAAAGGCAGGAGGUUCUGGCUGGAGACGGGCAUGUUGGUAUUGCUGAGCUAGAACAGUCAUGACAAGGUCCAGGGUGUGCCUGGCUGAGGUGGCAUUUGUGGCAUUCGAGUUAAAAGGUCAAGAAGUAUGAGACGGACGAUCCCGAGGAACAGACCUGAGGUGGAGAAGAAGUCUGGGGGGUUCUGUCCUCAAAGAGAGCAGGAGAAAGCAAUCCUUGCCUUAAGACAAAAGCACAUUUUAAGAUUCUAAAAAAUAUUCUAAGUCCUAACUCAUGGCUGCUAUAAAUGCCUCUUGCCAAAAUGUAAAUCCAUAGCUUCUUCAGGAGUAUACCAAAUACUUAGGGAGUUCCCAUUGUGGCUCAGUGGGUUAAGAACCCAACAGAGUGUCCAUGAAGAUACACGUUUGAUCCCUGGCCUCACUCAGUGGGUGAAAGAUCCAGCGUCGCCGUGAGCUGUGGUGUAGAUCGCAGAUGCGGCUUAGAUCCCAGGUUGCUGUGGCUGUGGCUGUGGUGUAGGCUGGUAGCUGCAGCUUUGAGUCGACCUCUAACCCAGGAAUUUUUAUAUACCACAGGUGUGGCCGUAAAAAGAAAAAUAAUUUUUUUAAAAGAGUAUACCAAAUAUUUAGACCAAGUGACACACUGAAACCAUGAAGCAGGAAAACCUACAUGAUAAAUCCUUGUUCUUUCCAUUAGCAAAUGGGUUAAACCUACCUUCCUUUUUUUUGUCUUUUUAGGAUCGCACCCAAGGCACAUGAAGUUCCCAGGCUAGGGGUCCAAUCUGAGCUGCAGCUGCUGGCCUAUACCACAGCCACAGCAAUGCCUGAUUUGUGCUGCAUCUGCGACCUACACCACAGCUCACGGCAAUGCCAGAUCCUCAACCAGAGUCCUCACAGAUACUAGUUGGGUUUGUUACUUCUGAGCCACAGGAACUCCAAACCUACCUUUCUGAGUUAGACUGAGGUCUGGCCUCCUUCAUUCACUCAGCAAACAUGCCUUCUAUCUGCCAGGUACUCUGCUGGGCCCUGGGGAUUCAAAAUGAAUUACCUAUGGUCUUUAUGGAGUUCACAAACAAGCGCAGGAGCCAGUCCUGAUGACAUGAAAAUUCUAGAGAAGUGGAAGGUAGAAAGUACAGUGGGGUUGUGUGAACACCAAGAAGGGAACCUAGGUUUGGGGAGAAGCAGCACAGAAAAGCUAACAAGAGAUGAACCUUAAAGAAGGAGCAGGGCGCACCAGCCUGGGAGGUGUGGGAAGGGCAUUCUAGGAAGAGGAACAGCAUGAGAAAGGGCACUGAGGGCCUGGAUGAUCAUGAAACUUAACAAUCUGGUUUGGCAGAAGAGUAGCCCUUAAACAGCAGUCUGCACAAGAACUGGCCUCAAUAUCAUUAAAAAAGCAGAGUAUCAGGCCCUGGAACAAUGGAUUUCAUAGGCCUAGAAUCUGCAUUUUCAAACGUGUCCUCAAUGCUUCUGAAGAAGGUGGUCCAUAGUUCGCACUGCAAAACCCCUGGCUCCUGGUGGGGGGAAGGAGUAGGGGUUGGGAUGAGGCAGAAAUUUUGUUCAGGAGCGUGUCGUGUUAAGGAGUUUGGAGCUCAAUUUUUCUAAGCAGUGAGGUACCUUUAGGGAGUGCCCUGAUGACAUCUGUUCCAGAAAUCCCUGUCUGGCAGUGGGACUGACAAAAGCCUGAAGAGAAGGAAGGUCGCUGCACCCAGGAAAGACAUUAGCGGGGAACAUUCAGCACAUCCUCAGGCUCCUGGGAGACAAAAAUCUCUCCUGAAGAGACAAACAGAAACAGCCAGGGUGGCCCACUGAGCACACACAAACCUAUGCAGAAUCCAGGCUGGGGGACACUCCCUGUGGUUCUGAGGCUUGUGCUGAGUCAUCCUUCA
Molecule: long non-coding RNA, 6799 nt
Filed under: Sus scrofa (pig)
Lineage: Eukaryota; Metazoa; Chordata; Mammalia; Artiodactyla; Suidae
Description: lncRNA (ENSSSCG00005002940.1)
Source: RNAcentral